Molecule: long non-coding RNA, 1012 nt
Organism: Girardinichthys multiradiatus
Lineage: Eukaryota; Metazoa; Chordata; Actinopteri; Cyprinodontiformes; Goodeidae
Exons: 3
Source: RefSeq, a predicted model, not a curated record
CAACACUACCCCGGUGAAUCACCUCAGUGGCUUAAAGCAUUGGCUUGGCCUCUAUGAAAGUCAAAGACUGUUGGUGAGUUCGAGAACUGCGUUGCAUGGAGCAUUGGAGGCGAAAUUGAUGGCGUUUGGCUACGACAUGAUGGAGCCUGUAUGUUUGGAAUGAGUCAGCUGGUUGGCCUCAGCUCACCUGCAGCCGGGGGUGACGUUGAACAGGAUUGACGUCAGUGAGGAUCUUCUCGUUGCUGGAUUUGAAAGCAUUCAUCAGAACUAGUGAUCCGUGUCCACAGUGACUACCUGGCAUCAGGAGGGAAAGGCGUUCACCAUGACUUGAAAGAACUGUUUACCGCUGUGAAUUCCAUCCCCAUAUCAAGCACCGAAUGUAAACGGGGCGAUUCCAGAUGAAUCUGAUUUGCACCCCAAACAGUCCCCCUUUGACCAAGUUCAGUUUGAGAUCAUGGGCGACUAAGGACACAGGAAUACUUCUGAGAUGAGGAGCAAGAUGCGGAGCAGGGAGAAGGAUGAGGUGUGGGAUAUACUAAACAACUAGUAAGGAUUCUUCUGGUGUCUGUGGCCGGAUUCAUCUUUUCCAGUGCACUGUGUUUGCUCUGUGGAUUCUCCUGAAAUUCCUCCAUGUGUCAUCUGCUGUUGGUCUCCCUUCCGCUCCUGGAACCUGCUUCUUGGAAACAGAGAUUCUCUCUUUUGUAGACAUUGUGAUUGUUGUUUGAACGGAUGUUGAAAUAAAAUGUGAGUGGAUGGAAACUGAAGUAAAAUUCCGUGCUUGUGCACACAAACUUAGCCAAUAAAGUUGAUUUUGAUUCUGAGCCUGCAAGAAUAACCUGGUUAUGGAUGGAUGAAUUAGAAUGUGUGUAAUUGACUUUGUAUGUGUCUUUGCAAUUGGAUUUAAAUUAGAUAUAUUUCUGAAUCUGAACUGUAUCUUUGUGUUUUGUAAAGUUCCUUUAGGUGACAUUUGUUGUGAACCAGUGAUAUAUAAAUAAACUGAUUUGAAAUAGAA